Molecule: transfer RNA, 72 nt
Filed under: Ovis aries (sheep)
Lineage: Eukaryota; Metazoa; Chordata; Mammalia; Artiodactyla; Bovidae
Rfam family: tRNA
About the family: Transfer RNA (tRNA) molecules are approximately 80 nucleotides in length. Their secondary structure includes four short double-helical elements and three loops (D, anti-codon, and T loops).
Source: Rfam by way of RNAcentral
UCCCUGGUGGUCCAGUGGUUAGGACUUUGCCUUCCAAUGCAGACGGUAUGGGUUCAAUCCCUGGUCAGGGAG